RNAcentral lists this ribosomal RNA (492 nucleotides) under uncultured bacterium. Its description in RNAcentral is "partial 16S ribosomal RNA". It matches the Rfam family "Bacterial small subunit ribosomal RNA", at positions 29 to 507 of the family's 1533-position model. The record is from RNAcentral.
AGUGAACGCUGGCGGUAGGCCUAACACAUGCAAGUCGAACGGCAGCACAGUAAGAGCUUGCUCUUACGGGUGGCGAGUGGCGGACGGGUGAGGAAUACAUCGGAAUCUACUUUUUCUGGGGGGAUAACGUAGGGAAACUUACGCUAAUACCGCAUACGACCUACGGGUGAAAGCAGGGGAUCUUCGGACCUUGCGCGAUUGAAUGAGCCGAUGUCGGAUUAGCUAGUUGGCGGGGUAAAGUCCCACCAAGGCGACGAUCCGUAGCUGGUCUGAGAGGAUGAUCAGCCACACUGGAACUGAGACACGGUCCAGACUCCUACGGGAGGCAGCAGUGGGGAAUAUUGGACAAUGGGCGCAAGCCUGAUCCAGCCAUACCGCGUGGGUGAAGAAGGCCUUCGGGUUGUAAAGCCCUUUUGUUGGGAAAGAAAAGCAGCAGGUUAAUACCCCGCUGUUCUGACGGUACCCAAAGAAUAAGCACCGGCUAACUUCGUG